GCGGCGGACGGGUGAGUAACACGUGGGUAACCUGCCUGUAAGACUGGGAUAACUCCGGGAAACCGGGGCUAAUACCGGAUGCUUGAUUGAACCGCAUGGUUCAAUCAUAAAAGGUGGCUUUUAGCUACCACUUACAGAUGGACCCGCGGCGCAUUAGCUAGUUGGUGAGGUAACGGCUCACCAAGGCGACGAUGCGUAGCCGACCUGAGAGGGUGAUCGGCCACACUGGGACUGAGACACGGCCCAGACUCCUACGGGAGGCAGC
RNAcentral lists this ribosomal RNA (265 nucleotides) under Bacillus sp. PB2.2. RNAcentral's name for it is "partial 16S ribosomal RNA". It matches the Rfam family "Bacterial small subunit ribosomal RNA", at positions 95 to 352 of the family's 1533-position model. The record is from RNAcentral. Lineage: Bacteria; Bacillati; Bacillota; Bacilli; Caryophanales; Bacillaceae.